UUGCCUCAGUAACGGCGAGUGAAGCGGCAACAGCUCAAAUUUUAAAGCUGGCGUCUUUGGCGCCCGCGUUGUAAUUUGGAGAGGCAUCUUCGGUUUGGGCGCCAGCCUAUGUUCCUUGGAACAGGACGUCACAGAGGGUGAGAAUCCCGUGCCUGGCUGGCUGUCCCUUUCCAUGUGAAGUGCCUUCGACGAGUCGAGUUGUUUGGGAAUGCAGCUCAAAAUGGGUGGUAAAUUUCAUCUAAAGCUAAAUAUUGGCGGGAGACCGAUAGCGCACAAGUAGAGUGAUCGAAAGAUGAAAAGCACUUUGAAAAUAGAGUUAAAAAGUACGUGAAAUUGUUGAAAGGGAAGCGCUUGAGACCAGACUCGGCCGGAGAUGAUCAGCCGUCCUUCUGGGCGGUGCACUCGUUUCCGGCCGGGCCAGCAUCGGUUGAGACGGCGGGAUAAAGGCCCGGGGAAUGUGGCUCCUUUCGGGGAGUGUUAUAGCCCCGGGCGCAAUGCCGCCAGCCUCGACCGAGGACCGCGCUUAAUUGCUAGGAUGCUGGCGUAAUGGUCUUCAGCGACCCGUCUUGAAACACGGACCAAGGAGUCUAACAUCUAUGCGAGUGUUUGGGUGUCAAACCCUUGCGCGUAAUGAAAGUGAACGGAGGUGGGAACCCCUCGCGGGGCGCACCAUCGACCGGUCCUGAUGUCUUCGGAUGGAUCUGAGUAGGAGCAUAGCUGUUGGGACCCGAAAGAUGGUGAACUAUGCCUGAAUAGGGUGAAGCCAGAGGAAACUCUGGUGGAGGCUCGCAGCGGUUCUGACGUGCAAAUCGAUCGUCAAAUUUGGGUAUAGGGGCGAAAGACUAAUCGAACCAUCUAGUAGCUGGUUCCUG
This 872-nucleotide ribosomal RNA is filed under the name Gyromitra esculenta. RNAcentral's name for it is "partial 28S ribosomal RNA". It matches the Rfam family "Eukaryotic large subunit ribosomal RNA", at positions 75 to 960 of the family's 3401-position model. The record is from RNAcentral. Lineage: Eukaryota; Fungi; Ascomycota; Pezizomycetes; Pezizales; Discinaceae.